This 116-nucleotide ribosomal RNA is filed under the name Escherichia coli. RNAcentral also lists the same sequence under 1 other name. Lineage: Bacteria; Pseudomonadati; Pseudomonadota; Gammaproteobacteria; Enterobacterales; Enterobacteriaceae. The record is from RNAcentral.
CCUGGCGGCCGUAGCGCGGUGGUCCCACCUGACCCCAUGCCGAACUCAGAAGUGAAACGCCGUAGCGCCGAUGGUAGUGUGGGGUCUCCCCAUGCGAGAGUAGGGAACUGCCGGCA